Molecule: transfer RNA, 82 nt
Filed under: Isosphaeraceae bacterium
Lineage: Bacteria; Pseudomonadati; Planctomycetota; Planctomycetia; Isosphaerales; Isosphaeraceae
Also listed under: 2 other names
Description: tRNA-Leu
Rfam family: tRNA
About the family: Transfer RNA (tRNA) molecules are approximately 80 nucleotides in length. Their secondary structure includes four short double-helical elements and three loops (D, anti-codon, and T loops).
Source: RNAcentral
GCGAGAGUGGCGGAACUGGCAGACGCGCAGGAUUUAGGUUCCUGUGCCGCAAGGCGUGCGGGUUCGACUCCCGCCUCUCGCA